GUUGGAAAUAGCUAGUUAACAGAGUAAUCAGGCUUGCCAAUGGAUUGCUGGCAGGUUUCUCUGGGUGUAAAAGGCUCCUUAGCGUAUCAUACGUUCUGGCUCCUAUAACUGUUAGAAAAACAGCGACCUGUUUAUUGUCAGGAAUGUCAUUAGCUGUGAAAUAUUGUUCAAGCCUUCCAACCCAAGAGGCCCAUAAAAUAUAUGCAC
Molecule: non-coding RNA, 207 nt
Organism: Pelobates cultripes (western spadefoot toad)
Lineage: Eukaryota; Metazoa; Chordata; Amphibia; Anura; Pelobatidae
Source: the annotation of a GenBank genome assembly